This 568-nucleotide ribosomal RNA is filed under the name Cardionema ramosissimum. RNAcentral describes it as "eukaryotic LSU rRNA". The stretch from base 190 to 344 matches the Rfam family "5.8S ribosomal RNA". The record is from RNAcentral. Lineage: Eukaryota; Viridiplantae; Streptophyta; Magnoliopsida; Caryophyllales; Caryophyllaceae.
GGUUUCCGUAGGUGAACCUGCGGAAGGAUCAUUGUCGAAACCUGCCUAGCAGAACGACCCGUGAACACGUUAUCAUCGGCAAAGAAACGAACACCGGCGCGCAAGCGCCAAGGAAAAUAACCUCAUAUGUGCCUGCCCCUUGCCCGGGCAACCGGUGCGCGGUCGCGGUGCCAUGUCUUAACAAUAAACGACUCUCGGCAACGGAUAUCUCGGCUCUCGCAUCGAUGAAGAACGUAGCGAAAUGCGAUACUUGGUGUGAAUUGCAGAAUCCCGUGAACCAUCGAGUCUUUGAACGCAAGUUGCGCCCGAAGCCUCUGGCUGAGGGCACGUCUGCCUGGGCGUCACGCAUCGCGUCUCCCCCACACCCACCUCGCGUGGAGGGGAAGGAAGAUGGCCUCCCGAGCCUCACCGGGCGCGGUUGGCCUAAAUACGGAGCCCCCGGCGUUGAUCUGCCGCGGCGAUAGGUGGUCGUCGCGCAGCGCCUCGCCAACGGAGCUCGCAGGACCCUCAACGUUGCCUAGCCGCAACCUUAACCGUUGCGACCCCAGGUCAGGCGGGGCUACCCGCU